Molecule: ribosomal RNA, 253 nt
Filed under: uncultured bacterium
Lineage: Bacteria
Description: partial 16S ribosomal RNA
Rfam family: Bacterial small subunit ribosomal RNA
Source: RNAcentral
UACGUAGGGGGCAAGCGUUGUCCGGAUUUAUUGGGCGUAAAGAGCGUGUAGGCGGCUGGGUAGGUCCGCUGUGAAAACUCGAGGCUUAACCUCGAGACGUCGGUGGAAACCAUCCAGCUAGAGUCCGGAAGAGGAGAGUGGAAUUCCUGGUGUAGCGGUGAAAUGCGCAGAUAUCAGGAAGAACACCCGUGGCGAAAGCGGCUCUCUGGGAUGGUACUGACGCUGAGACGCGAAAGCGUGGGGAGCGAACAGG